This 442-nucleotide ribosomal RNA is filed under the name uncultured bacterium. RNAcentral's name for it is "partial 16S ribosomal RNA". It matches the Rfam family "Bacterial small subunit ribosomal RNA", at positions 338 to 795 of the family's 1533-position model. The record is from RNAcentral.
CCUACGGGUGGCAGCAGUAGGGAAUCUUUCACAAUGGGCGAAAGCCUGAUGGAGCAACGCCGCGUGCAGGAUGAAGGCCUUCGGGUUGUAAACUGUUUUUAUAAGCGAGAAAUAUGAUGGUAACUUAUGAAUAAGGAGUGGCUAACAACGUGCAAGCAGCGGCGGUCAUACGUAGGAUCCGAGCAUUAUCCGGAGUGACCGGGUGUAAAGAGUUUCGUAGGUGGCAUAAUAAGGAGCUAGUGGAAUCUGGUGGCUCAACCAUUCAGACUAUUAGCUAAACUGUUAAGCUCGAGACCGUUAGGGGUAACUGGAAUUUCUAGUGUAGGAGUGAAAUCCGUAGAUAUUAGAAAGAACACCGAUAGCGUAGGCAGGUUGCUAGGACGGUUCUGACACUAAGGCACGAAAGCGUAGGGAGCAAACGGGAUUAGAUACCCCUGUAGUC